AGAUGUGAGGGUGAUCUGGCUUCGACAUCUGUCACUGAUUGCCAGGGUUGUUCGGUUGAUCUGGCUGGCUAGGCAGGUGUCCCUUUCUUCCCUCACCACUCCAUGUGCCUCCCUCUGGAAGCUGCACACUUGGUCCAAGAGGAUGACCAUCCCCAAUAGAAGAGGACUGGUCUUCAGUCAAGGGCAUAUGAGUAGCUGCACUCCUCUGAUAGAACCUCCAAACAGGCUCUGAAAAAAAUGAAGGCAUUUUCUAAUGUCAACUAAUAAUGUGGAGAGAGUACUGGAAUUAAAUCAUCAUUUUGCAAAAAUCAUAAUAAAACUGGUUCAGGCAGGAAUCAUCAAUGGAUG
Molecule: unclassified non-coding RNA, 348 nt
Organism: Aotus nancymaae (Ma's night monkey)
Lineage: Eukaryota; Metazoa; Chordata; Mammalia; Primates; Aotidae
Gene: 7SK
Rfam family: 7SK RNA
About the family: 7SK was discovered as an abundant small nuclear RNA in the mid-70s but a possible function has only recently been suggested. Two independent studies have found that 7SK RNA binds the CDK9/cyclin T complex (known as elongation factor P-TEFb).
Source: Ensembl